Molecule: ribosomal RNA, 427 nt
Filed under: Salmonella enterica
Lineage: Bacteria; Pseudomonadati; Pseudomonadota; Gammaproteobacteria; Enterobacterales; Enterobacteriaceae
Also listed under: 1 other name
Description: bacterial LSU rRNA
Rfam family: Bacterial large subunit ribosomal RNA
Source: RNAcentral
AUCCUCCAAGGCUAAAUACUCCUGACUGACCGAUAGUGAACCAGUACCGUGAGGGAAAGGCGAAAAGAACCCCGGCGAGGGGAGUGAAAAAGAACCUGAAACCGUGUACGUACAAGCAGUGGGAGCCCCACCACUAAGCCAGUGGUGAACUCCACAUACGCAUCCUUUGCUGAGGAUACGGUUAACGGAGCGAAAGCGACGUUCAACCUCAAAAGAAGCAGAGGGGGCUUAGUGGUGGGGUGACUGCGUACCUUUUGUAUAAUGGGUCAGCGACUUAUAUUCUGUAGCAAGGUUAACCGAAUAGGGGAGCCGGAGGGAAACCGAGUCUUAACCGGGCGUUAAGUUGCAGGGUAUAGACCCGAAACCCGGUGAUCUAGCCAUGGGCAGGUUGAAGGUUGGGUAACACUAACUGGAGGACCGAACCGAC